This 301-nucleotide ribosomal RNA is filed under the name uncultured bacterium. RNAcentral describes it as "partial 16S ribosomal RNA". It matches the Rfam family "Bacterial small subunit ribosomal RNA", at positions 509 to 807 of the family's 1533-position model. The record is from RNAcentral.
CAGCAGCCACGGUAAUACGGAGGGUGCAAGCGUUAAUCGGAAUUACUGGGCGUAAAGCGCACGCAGGCGGUCUGACAAGUCAGAUGUGAAAUCCCCGGGCUUAACCUGGGAACUGCAUUUGAAACUGUCAGGCUGGAGUCUUGUAGAGGGGGGUGGAACUCCAGGUGUAGCGGUGAAAUGCGUAGAGAUCUGGAGGAAUACCGGUGGCGAAGGCGGCCCCCUGGACAAAGACUGACGCUCAGGUGCGAAAGCGUGGGGAGCAAACAGGAUUAGAUACCCCAGUAGUCCCUGUCUCUUAUAC